This is a non-coding RNA of Podarcis lilfordi (Lilford's wall lizard), 74 nucleotides long. The record is from the annotation of a GenBank genome assembly. Lineage: Eukaryota; Metazoa; Chordata; Lepidosauria; Squamata; Lacertidae.
UCUCUGAUAGCUCAGUCGGUAAAGCAUGAGACUAUUAAUCUGAGGGUCAUAGGUUCAGGCCUCACAUUGGACAA